CACGCAUUCGCUGUGGCAUUGUUUCGAUAAGCUUUUGCAAUGUCACAAGAUUUAUUUCCGUCCAGUGUUGCAUUAAUUUUUCACCAAGAUCUUGUAUUGAUGGGAGAGUCGGACUACUACGCGAAGCCUUCUCCAGCACAUCCCAAAGAUUCUCAAUGGGGUUAAGGUGUGGACUCUGUGGUGACCAAUCCAUGUGUGAAAAUUAUGUAUCAUGCUCUCUG
This is a non-coding RNA of Pelobates cultripes (western spadefoot toad), 221 nucleotides long. The record is from the annotation of a GenBank genome assembly. NCBI's taxonomy places the organism in Eukaryota, Metazoa, Chordata, Amphibia, Anura, Pelobatidae.